RNAcentral lists this ribosomal RNA (365 nucleotides) under uncultured Bacteroidota bacterium. Its description in RNAcentral is "bacterial SSU rRNA". It matches the Rfam family "Bacterial small subunit ribosomal RNA", at positions 77 to 441 of the family's 1533-position model. The record is from RNAcentral. Lineage: Bacteria; Pseudomonadati; Bacteroidota.
ACUUCGGUUCUGAUGGCGACCGGCGCACGGGUGAGUAACGCGUACACUACCUACCUUUAACAGAGGGAUAGCCCUGGGAAACUGGGAUUAAUACCACAUAGUAUUGCAUAUUUUAUUUUUAUGCAAUUAAAGCUCCGGCGGUUAAAGAUGGGUGUGCGUUAGAUUAGCUAGUUGGUAAGGUAAUGGCUUACCAAGGCUACGAUCUAUAGGGGGCGUGAGAGCGUGGACCCCCACACGGGUACUGAGACACGGACCCGACUCCUACGGGAGGCAGCAGUAAGGAAUAUUGGACAAUGGGCGCAAGCCUGAUCCAGCCAUCCCGCGUGAAGGAUGACGGCCCUAUGGGUUGUAAACUUCUUUUAUUA